CUUGGUUGAUCCUGCCAGUAGUCAUAUGCUUGUCUCAAAGAUUAAGCCAUGCAUGUGUAAAUAUGAACUAAUUUAGACUAUGAAAUUGUGAAUGGCUCAUUAAAUCAAUUAUAGUUUGUUUGAUGGUAUCUACUACUUAGAUAAUCGUAGUAAUUCUACAGUUGAAGCAUACAACAAACCCCUACUUCUGGAAGAGAUGCAUUUAUUAGAUAAAAAGGUUGAUGCGGGCUUUGCCCUUUGCUCUAAUGAUUCAUUAUAACUUGACAAAUCACACGACUUUUGUGCCAGCGACGCAUCAUUCAAAUUUCUACCCUAUCAACUUUUGAUGGUAGGAUAGUGGCCUACUAUAAUGGUGACCAGUGAUGGAGAAUUACGGUUAGAUUCUAGAGAGGGAACCUGAGAAAAGGCAAACACAUCCAAAGAAGGCUGCAGGUAAAAAAUUAGCAAAUCUUGACAUGGGGAGGUUGUGAUAAUAAAUAACAAUACUCGGCUCUAUGAGUAUAGUAAUUGAAAUAAAUACAAUCUAAAUCCCUUAAUGAGGAUCCAUUGAGGGCAAGUCUGGUGCCAACAGCCACGAUAAUUGUAGCUCUAAUAGCAUAUAUUUAAGUUGUUGUAGUUAAAAAACUCGUAGUUGGAACUAGGGUUAAAUCGUUCAGUUCACCUCAUGGUAAGCACCAGUCUACUAGUCCUUAUAACCAACGAUACACUCCUGACCUUAGCUAGCCAGCUCAUUCCUCUGGCGAUGUUACUUUGAAAAAAUUAGAGUGCUCAAAGUAGGCCUAUGUUUGUAUACAUUAGCAUAGGAUAACAUCAUAGGAUUUUGGUGCUAUUGUGUUGGCCUUUGGGAUUAUAGUAAUGAUUAACAGGGAUAGUUAGGCGUAUUCAUAUUUUAUAAUCAGAGGUAAAAUUCUUAUAUUUAUGAAAAAUGAAAUACUGCAAAAGCAUUCACCAAAAAUGUUUUCAUUAAUCAAGAAUGAAAGUUGAGGGCUUAAAGUUGAUCAAAUACCAUCCUAGUCUCAACUAUAAAUGAUGCCAACCAAGGAUCAAUGAAUGUUACUUUUAGGACUCCGUCAGCACUUUAUGAAAAAUCAAAGUUUUUGGAUUCUAGGGGGACUAUGGUUGCAAGGCUAAAAUUUAAAAGAAUUGACGGAAAGGCACCACCAGGAGUGGAGCUUGUAGUUUAAUUUGACUCAACACAAAGAAACUUAUCAGGUCUAGACAUAGUAAGGAUUUACAUACUGAGAGCUCUUUCUUGAUUCUAUAAGUGGUGGUGCAUGGCCGUUUUUAGUUGGUAAAGUGAUUUGUCUACUUAAUUCUCUUAACGAAUGAGACCUUAGCCUAUUAACUAGCUACGAGGAGAUGAUUCUUCAUGGCUAGCUUCUUAAAAGGACUAUGGCUGCUUAGACUAAGGAAGUUUGAAGUAAUAACAGGUCUAUAAUGCCUUUAGAUGUUUUAGGCUACACGUGUGCUACAUUGAUGUAUUCAACGAGUCUAUAGCUUUGGCCAAUAGGCUCGGGUAAUCUUUAAAAUUUCAUCGUGAUAGGCAUAGAUCAUUGCAAUUAUUGGUCUUCAAUAAGGAAUUCCUAGUAAGUGUGAGUCAUCAACUUAUGUUGACUACAUCCCUACCCUUUGUACACACUUCUUGUCACUCCUACUAAUUGAAUAGUCCAGUAAAGUGUUUAGAUUACAGUGACAUAGACGAUUCACUACCUGUGAUGUUGCAAGAAGUCCACUAAACCUUAUCAUUUAGGGGAAGGAGAAGUUGUAACAAGGUUUUCAUAAGUGAACUUGUGGAAG
RNAcentral lists this ribosomal RNA (1797 nucleotides) under Durio zibethinus. RNAcentral describes it as "SSU rRNA". It matches the Rfam family "Eukaryotic small subunit ribosomal RNA". The record is from RNAcentral. Lineage: Eukaryota; Viridiplantae; Streptophyta; Magnoliopsida; Malvales; Malvaceae.